UCGCACCUACCGAUUGAAUGGUCCGGUGAAAUCUUCGGACCGAGCGAUGGUCAGCAAUGACCGCUGCUUGGAAAGUUGCUUAAACCUUACCAUUUAGAGGAAGGUG
RNAcentral lists this ribosomal RNA (106 nucleotides) under uncultured eukaryote. RNAcentral describes it as "partial small subunit ribosomal RNA". It matches the Rfam family "Eukaryotic small subunit ribosomal RNA", at positions 1676 to 1785 of the family's 1831-position model. The record is from RNAcentral.